CCCUAGCCCCGAUAGAAGUGAAAAUCCUUUUGUGCCGAUGCUGGGCACAAAAGAUUGGAACGGAUAGCGGGAAAAGCU
RNAcentral lists this small RNA (78 nucleotides) under Flavobacterium sp. HMWF030. RNAcentral's name for it is "Flavo-1 RNA". It matches the Rfam family "Flavo-1 RNA". Lineage: Bacteria; Pseudomonadati; Bacteroidota; Flavobacteriia; Flavobacteriales; Flavobacteriaceae. The record is from Rfam by way of RNAcentral.